RNAcentral lists this ribosomal RNA (386 nucleotides) under uncultured bacterium. RNAcentral's name for it is "bacterial SSU rRNA". It matches the Rfam family "Bacterial small subunit ribosomal RNA", at positions 28 to 417 of the family's 1533-position model. The record is from RNAcentral.
GACGAACGCUGGCGGCGUGCUUAACACAUGCAAGUCGAGCGGUAAGGCCCUUCGGGUACACGAGCGGCGAACGGGUGAGUAACACGUGGGUGACCUGCCCUUAGCUCUGGGAUAAGCCUGGGAAACUGGGUCUAAUACCGGAUAUGACCUCAUGACGCAUGUUGUGGGGUGGAAAGCCUUGUGCGGCUAGGGGAUGGGCCCGCGGCCUAUCAGCUUGUUGGUGGGGUGAUGGGCCACCAAGGCGACGACGGGUAGCCGGCCUGAGAGGGCGACCGGCCACACUGGGACUGAGACACGGCCCAGACUCCUACGGGAGGCAGCAGUGGGGAAUCUUGCGCAAUGGGCGAAAGCCUGACGCAGCGACGCCGCGUGAGGGAUGACGGCCU